This 283-nucleotide ribosomal RNA is filed under the name Escherichia coli. RNAcentral's name for it is "partial 23S ribosomal RNA". It matches the Rfam family "Bacterial large subunit ribosomal RNA", at positions 2666 to 2925 of the family's 2925-position model. Lineage: Bacteria; Pseudomonadati; Pseudomonadota; Gammaproteobacteria; Enterobacterales; Enterobacteriaceae. The record is from RNAcentral.
GGGGGGCUGCUCCUAGUACGAGAGGACCGGAGUGGACGCAUCACUGGUGUUCGGGUUGUCAUGCCAAUGGCACUGCCCGGUAGCUAAAUGCGGAAGAGAUAAGUGCUGAAAGCAUCUAAGCACGAAACUUGCCCCGAGAUGAGUUCUCCCUGACUCCUUGAGAGUCCUGAAGGAACGUUGAAGACGACGACGUUGAUAGGCCGGGUGUGUAAGCGCAGCGAUGCGUUGAGCUAACCGGUACUAAUGAACCGUGAGGCUUAACCUUACAACGCCGAAGGUGUUU